RNAcentral lists this non-coding RNA (100 nucleotides) under Weeksella virosa. RNAcentral describes it as "Guanine sequence". It matches the Rfam family "Purine riboswitch aptamer". Rfam says of the family: Riboswitches are metabolite binding domains within certain messenger RNAs that serve as precision sensors for their corresponding targets. Allosteric rearrangement of mRNA structure is mediated by ligand binding, and this results in modulation of gene expression. A class of riboswitches that selectively recognises guanine and becomes saturated at concentrations as low as 5 nM. The record is from RNAcentral. Lineage: Bacteria; Pseudomonadati; Bacteroidota; Flavobacteriia; Flavobacteriales; Weeksellaceae. RNAcentral also lists the same sequence under 1 other name.
UUUUUUUCAAUUAAAAACAUUUGUAUAAACUCAUAAUACGGUUGAGUGUUUCUACAGCAAACCAUCGAAAUUUGCUUCUACAAAUUGUUUUUUUUACUUC